UAGGUUUUUUUUUUUUUUGGUCUCUUUCAGCACCUUAAAUAUUUAUCCUACUGUCUUUUUGGCAUCCACAGUAUCUGAAGAAAAACCAGCUGCUAAUCUUAUUAAGAAUCUCUUGUAAGUGAUGAGCCUCUUCUCUUCUUGCUUUCAAGAUUCUCUUUGUGACUUUUGACAAUUUGAAUACAACGUAUCUCAGUGUGAAUCUCUUUGCAUUUACCUUACUUGUGUAAGGUUGGUGGAAAAGUAAUUGUGGUUUUUGUUAUUGAAAGUAAUGGCAAAACUGCAAUUACUUUUGCACCAGCCUAUAUAGUUCACUUAGCGUUUUGAAUGUGUAGAUUCAUGUCUUUCAUCAAAUUGGGAGAGUUUUUAACCAUUAUUUCCUCAAAUAUAUGUUCUGGCCCUUUCUUUCUUCUCCUUCUGGGACUCCCAUUAUAUGUAUGUUGGUAUGCUUGAUGCUGUCCCAUAGUUCUCUGAGGAUUGGUUCAUUUUUUUUAAAUAGCUUUAUUGAGACAUCAUUGACAUAUAAAAAUUAUAUAUAUUUAAAGUGUACAAUUUGAUGUCUUGAUAUGUGUACGUUGUGAAAUGAUCACAACCAAACUAAUAAACAUAUCCAGUACCUCUACAUAGUUACCAUUGUACAUGUGUGUAAUUAGAUUUAAAAUUUAUCCUCUUAACAAAUUAUCACUAUACAAUAUUGUUUAACUGUCAUUACCCUGUUGUACAUUGAAACUCCAGGAAUUAUUUAUCUUUGCUAAUUCUUCUUUAUUCUUCUUUUUGCUUCAUACAAUAGAUAAUCUCAAUUAACCUUCCUUCAAGUUUGCUUAUUCUUUGUUCUGUUGUUGAACCACUCUAAUUAACUUUUCAUUGCAGUAAUUGUACUUUUCAGCUUCAGAAUUUCUAUUAGGUUGUUUCUUAUAUUUUGUAUAGCUUUAUUGAUAUUCUCUAUAUGGUGACACAUCAUUCUUCUGGUUUCCUUUAGUUCUUUGUCCAUGGUUCCCUUUUAACUCUUUGAACAUAUGUUAAGACAGUUGAUUUAAAGUCUUUGUCUGGUAAGUCCAGUGUCUGGGCUUCUUCAGGGACUGUUUCUAUACAUUUCUUAUUUUCCUGCAAAUGGGCCGUAAUUUCUUGCUUCUUUGCAUGUGUCAUAACAUUUUGUGGCAAAGUGGAUAUUUUGAAUAAUAUGACAACUUUGGAAAUCAGAUUCUCCUUCUUCUCCAGAGUUUGUUGUUGCUGCUUGUUGUAGUUUGUUGUUGUUUAACACUUUAAUGGUUUAGACACUUCUCUAAACCAUUUUUGUUAAAGCUAUAUUCCUUGUCAUUGGCCACUGAAGUUUUGUUAUUUUAGCUUAGUGGUCAGCUAGUGAUUUGAAGAGAUUUCCUGAAAUAGUGAGAGCCAAAAGUAUAAAAUACUCUCCCAGUCUUUGCAGGUUGGCUUUGCAUGAGGAACUCCUUCAAUGCUUGGCCAGGUUGUUUAAAACUCUGCCUUAACCUUCACUCCCUCCUUGUGUGGAGCCUAAAAGUUAGAUAGAUGUUAAAGAUUAGAGUCUUUUCAGGUGUCUCUGGGCAUAUGUCCAGCCUGGGCAUGUAUGUGACCUUCUGGAUUUCUUCAUAUAUACAGAAGCUUUUCAAAGUCAUCAUUUCUCCAUGUAUCUCCAUGUGUGCUCUCUUUCUUCCCAGACUUUUCUUGUUGCUUGUUGCUUGCUCCAACUGUCAUCCUUUGUCUCAGGUGGCUAAGGCUAAUACAUUUGCUUUUACAUGCUUUCAACAAACACCAUCUGGAAACUGCUUAUGCCUUGGAGAAAGUUUGAGUCAGGUAAAAGAAAAGCAAGCCCUUGUGCCAACCCUUCAGGGAGCCCAGACAGAUCAAAACACACCACCAUGAUUCCUUGAAAAUAAGUCCAUAUUUCUCCCUCUGAUGCCAGCAACCUGCAUCUGGAAUGUGAGCUGCUGUCUUAGCUGCUACCAAGCUGAUGAUGGGGCAUGGUAAGCAGAAAAUGCAUUUUAGAAGAAAAUGAGUCUCUGAUCUCAGGAUUUGUCUGAUCUCUCACGAUUGGGAUGGCCCAUUCCUAGAGGGGGAGAAGACCUGGAAAACACUGCUAGACCAACUCAAAAUUACAAAGUUUUCCAGAGCUUAUAUGUCUUCUAAGCCAUAUGUCUAUGUCUGCAGGAAUGUAGACAAUUCAGAGGCUUUGUUCCCCAUAAUUUGGAACUUUUCUUCAGAUUUGACCAAGUCGGGUAGAGAUGAUCAAACCUAAUGGGAAAAAGACUGAAACAACAAAAACAGAAACAGGCAAACACAACCAGUAGCUCUGGUGGCCUUUACCUCAGGCUUUGAUGACAGACAGAGGAACCAACAAUCUAACCUGAUGCCUGCCUCUCCCCACGCCAGUGCUGAGGAGCUCCUGCAGAGAAAGCCUGCUCUUCCAGCCCUUGUAUUCAGGACAGGUGCCGGGUGGUCCCUCAAGACCCUUUUUCAGCAGUAAAUCCUACCUGCUUUCACUGAGUUCUCACUAAGUUUAUUUGGUUUAAUCUAGGUUGUCUGA
This 2539-nucleotide long non-coding RNA is filed under the name Homo sapiens (human). Its description in RNAcentral is "HSALNT0399821". Lineage: Eukaryota; Metazoa; Chordata; Mammalia; Primates; Hominidae. The record is from RNAcentral.